Molecule: ribosomal RNA, 253 nt
Filed under: uncultured bacterium
Lineage: Bacteria
Description: partial 16S ribosomal RNA
Rfam family: Bacterial small subunit ribosomal RNA
Source: RNAcentral
UACGUAGGGGGCAAGCGUUGUCCGGAUUUAUUGGGCGUAAAGAGCGUGUAGGCGGCCUGGACGGUCAGCUGUGAAAACUCGAGGCUCAACCUCGAGACGUCGGUUGAAACCACCUGGCUAGAGUCCGGAAGAGGAGAGUGGAAUUCCCGGUGUAGCGGUGAAAUGCGCAGAUAUCGGGAAGAACACCCGUGGCGAAGGCGGCUCUCUGGGACGGUACUGACGCUGAGACGCGAAAGCGUGGGGAGCGAACAGG